Carica papaya (papaya) is the source of this 638-nucleotide non-coding RNA. The record is from RefSeq and is a predicted model, not a curated record. Lineage: Eukaryota; Viridiplantae; Streptophyta; Magnoliopsida; Brassicales; Caricaceae.
AAUACUAUCAUCUUUUGGGACGUUGUGAAGAAGGUCCAAAAAGGUAGAGCACAGUGCAAAACGACGAUUCAGAGAAACAACAACUGCAUUCUCUCUCUCUCUUGUUAUACUGGUUGAUCUUGAGGUGGGUUUGCUCUUCGCGUCAAUGGAACGGGUUUAGAUAAGUCGAGGGAAGAGGAUUAUCAUCGGAUCAUUGACGAGAAAAAAAAAAAAAUUAAAAGGUUUGACAGAAAAAUCUGAAACCGGGACAUUUUUGGUGCGAGAUUCUGCGUUGAUCAUGGCGGUCGCUGAGAAUGCUGGGGCUAAAAUCGGUUCUUCGAGUCAAAAUUUGGACAACACUGUAGUGUCAUCAGACUCGAAAGCACCACCAUCGACUGAUCUCGAGAAAUCAAAACCCAGGACUGAUUCCGUCACCAAGAGUAAAGAAUCGAGUUUCCCGACCCAAAACAAUGAUCAGACUGUGGACCCGAAGUACCAGAACCAGACCACUUUUGCAGUCCACACAAGCAAUGGCAAAACUCAAGUGGGUCAGAUGGAAAACGGCGGGGUUGAUAGCAAUGGAGUCAACAGUCAGCAGUUGUGCCGAGGACUGUUUCGGCUUGUGGGCAUGGGCCAAAUGUGACGAUGAACGCGGAAAA